GUGCUCACUUCGGCAGCACAUAUACUAAAAUUGGAAUGAUACAAAAAAAUUAGCAUGGCCCCUGUGCAAGGAUGACUCACAAGUUCGUGAAGCUUUCCAUAUUUAG
This is a small nuclear RNA of Rattus norvegicus (Norway rat), 106 nucleotides long. The record is from Ensembl. NCBI's taxonomy places the organism in Eukaryota, Metazoa, Chordata, Mammalia, Rodentia, Muridae.